This 1197-nucleotide ribosomal RNA is filed under the name Triticum aestivum (bread wheat). Its description in RNAcentral is "partial small subunit ribosomal RNA". The record is from RNAcentral. Lineage: Eukaryota; Viridiplantae; Streptophyta; Magnoliopsida; Poales; Poaceae.
AUGCUACUCUUUCAGAUGGCAGUCCAUGCCGGGGAGAAGAUGGGGAAGAACGGCCUCAAGGACACUGACUCGAUCGCAACGCCGAUUGUGAGCGGCACGACGCACUGGUCCAAGAGCUCGGGCGACCUCAUCGCGUUCAAGGAAGGACGGCGCCACAGCUUCGAGUACGGCCGCUACGGCAACCCCACUAUGAAGGUCCUAGAGGACAAGAUCAGUGCCCUAGAGAGGGCUGAGUCGACGCUUGUCACGUCCUCGGGCAUGAACGCCAUCGUCGCCACGCUGCUUGCGCUCGUGCCACCCGGCGCCGGCCACGUGGUAACCACGACAGAGUGCUACAGCGAGGCGCGCGCCUUCAUCCGCGACAAGCUCUCCAAGAUGGGCAUCAAGGUGACAUUCGUCGAGCUGAAUGACAUGGAGACACUCAAGGCCGUUCUUGACCAGGGCGACGUGACACUCUUCUACACUGACUGUCCGACAAACCCCCACCUCAAGUGCAUCGACAUUAAGCUCGUAGCGGAGCUGUGUCACCGCAAAGGGGCUCUGGUGUGCAUCGACAGCACCCUCGCCUCGACCAUCAAUCAGAAGCCACUCACCAUCGGGGCCGAUAUCGUCGUGCACUCUGCCACAAAGUACAUUGCCGGCCAUCACGACGUCAUUGCAGGAUGCAUCAGCGGCUCGGAUGCGCUCAUCUCUAGGAUACGUGCGUGGCAUCACGACCUCGGCGGCGCCAUUAGUCCGGACGCGGCCUACAUGAUCAUACGCGGCCUCAAGACGAUGGCGCUUCGCGUGGAAACACAAAACCACACUGCAUUGCGCAUGGCGCGCUUGCUCGAGAACCAUCCCAAGAUUGAGCGGGUGUACUACCCUGGACUCAUCAGCAGCCCAUGGCACCACAUCGCCAAGAGCCAGAUGACCGGUUGCGGUGGCGUCAUCAGCUUUGAGGUGGCAUCAGACCUGCACGGCGUCAUGAGGUUCAUCGACGCAUUGGAGAUACCCUUCAUUGCAACCUCACUUGGUGGGUGUGAGAGCCUCGUGCAACAGCCGGCAGUCAUGUCCUUUUGGGGGGAGAGUGAUGAGGAGAAGGCCAAGAAUGGGAUCAAGGACAACUUGGUGAGGUUUAGCUUCGGGAUUGAGAAGUUUGAGGAUCUCAGGGAUGACAUUCUCCAAGCCCCGGAGAAAAUUUACGAUUAUUCUUGA